GUGAUAUAGAAAUAAGUAGGGUCCAGUCCCUAUUCCUGAGGCCUUAGAGAAAGGGGAAGAUCCAUAAACUGAAAGGCAGAAAGAUCAUGCAAGAGGGGAGGAGGCCACCAGACUAAAGGACGUUCAAAGAAAGGCGGGUGCCCCUGAAGCACCAGGAUGGAGUCAGCCCCAUGAGACACUCACUAAGCAGUUGUGAACUCCUAGCACACUGAAGCCGCCUCUCCACCUAUAAGUAAAAAGAAGAGACGAUCCCAAGCACAGAGAGGGCCUGAGUCCGUGGCAGCCUCCCUUGGCACCUCAGACCUCCAAACACUGAGAAAACUCAUCCGGAGUCAGAUCCAGACGUUUCUUCAUCUCAGCUGCCAGGAAGUACGUAUUUUGGCACAUGGGGACCAAGGAAGGAAGGAAUGGAGGAGAACUUACCCCAGAGGCUAGUAAAAUAUCAGCACAGGUUGUUUGCUCAUCUGUGGGAAAACAAUAGAAAAGAAAAAAAAAAAAAAAAAAA
Bos taurus (domestic cattle) is the source of this 505-nucleotide long non-coding RNA. NCBI's taxonomy places the organism in Eukaryota, Metazoa, Chordata, Mammalia, Artiodactyla, Bovidae. The record is from Ensembl.